AGCAGAGAAGGGGUUGAACCAACAUCAAAAAACUCAAAAUUUUACGCAUUUCUUUUAUGCUACCUACUA
RNAcentral lists this transfer RNA (69 nucleotides) under Brookesia sp. Betampona. Its description in RNAcentral is "tRNA-Gln". The record is from RNAcentral. Lineage: Eukaryota; Metazoa; Chordata; Lepidosauria; Squamata; Chamaeleonidae.